UUCUCUUUUACAAAUUCAAUAAUUUUCUCAUUAAAUUAAGUUUCACAUGAUUUGUUGGUAAACACUAUUUACAAGUUGUUUAACUAUCGUUACUCCUACCGACUUAUAUAAGUUGUCAUGACUAUCAAGAAUAAGUACUCAAACUUGUUAUUUUAUCAAAAUCAAGAUUAAAUUAAUUAUUUUUAUCCCAUUUAACCCUUUAAUAUUUUAUAUUCUUAAAAUAAGAUUAACUUAGUUGUCCUUGUGAAAAUGACCAUAUAUAGUUAAUAAAAUUAUUAUUAUUUUCCUAUCGUAUGGUAACAAUGUCCUUUAUAUCACCCCAAAAUGAACUACGUUACGAAAAAUAAGGAGAUAUAUACGGAUGCAAUGCAUAGUUAUAAAUGCAACGACUAAUAUGGGACGGAAAUAACAUUAUAAUUAACUCUAAGACGACUUAGAAUUAAGUGGUCAACCGAAUAUUAAAGCUUCCCUUUUCACUUUAUAUCAAUAUCUAGUUUUAUUGUCCAUUUUUGAUAGAUAAUUAGAUAGUUACUAUCUUCGUCUCAAUCUCAUAUUAGAUGGGCACUUUCUAUAUUUUACAUAAUAAUUAAGAAAUCAUUAAUAGAUUGAGUAACUUUACUAUUUCGCCCUUUGUUCAUAUUAAUUAGCCUAUUGAAAAAAUAAAUUAUGAAUCUUCAAAAUUUCUUUAAAUAUCCAUAUGAAAGGAGAAGUAGCCUAAGAAAUUUUACAAUCUCUUGAAAUUCAUCCACAUAGAAAAUCAUAGGGUACACCAAAUUAAAUUAUAUAUUUAAUUGUCAAAAUUAAAGAAAAGUGAACUAAUGAAAUCAAAAACAAAUUUAUAUAGUUGAGAGAGACCUCAUCUUUUUCAGUUGAGAAUGUAGUGAAAGUUGGUCAUUAGUUGGGGUAAUCUCACUGGUUGAGUGUUCCAUUCCUCUUUCUUCAAAUGUAAUUCCUAAAAAAAAAAACUUUGUUUCCUUUUAAUUUCAAUUCAUAUUAUUAUUAAUCCAAAGAAAUAUAUUCAUUGCAGAAUUUGAUUUGAAAAGAAAAGACAAGCCAAUAAAAGGGAAAUUAUGCAACAUCAACUCUCAUUAUAAGUGUCUACAUGUCCAAAUCCAAAAUGGAAGAGCAUAGAUUUCAGAUGAGGCCAAGCUAAAGAACAUAAUUAUGUAUUAUGCCUUAGAAAACACUUAUAAUAUUCUCCUUUUUUAUUUGAUUGUUUUACUCUUUUUUUUUAGUUCAUUUUAAGAAGAACGUUUCUUUCAUUUUUUGGUGAUUCUUUAGUUCUAAUUUUUCACAUGAUAUGUUUACAAUCAAAAAGUUAACGGGCACUAUGAUAUAUUUUACGCAUUUUUAAUUUAAGACUAUAAGAUUCAAAAGGCUCUUUACUUUCUUAACCUCUACAUCAAGUCAAAAAUCACACAAAACUUUGAAACAUACACUACUAAACAUUAAGUAUUUUUCCAUUGAAAUUUUCUAUUGAAAAACGUUCGGUGACUAUUUUCACAAAUAUUUUAAUUCUAUCAAUGAAAAAAAUAACUAAUAGUAUUUUCACACAUGUUAGUGUUUUAGUGAGAAUCUAUUUUUCCAGUGAGCUAGUUCGUUAAAAACAGAGUGGGAAAAUCUUACUUUGGUAGAGAUGUUGUGAGACUCUCUGAAGCAUGUAAGUUGUUAUAAACAAAAAAAAAUAAAGGAAAAAAAAAACAAAAGGUGAUUUAAAUUUGAAACAACAGAAACAAAAACAAUUGUGUUUUUUCAUAUUUUUAUUCACUUUUCCCUUUACACUAUAAAAUAUUAUGUAAAUCAUGGCAUUCAAAUUGAGGUGUAGCAAAGAAUAAAGAGUAAUAGUUUAGCAUGGAACAAGAAUAUUUAGAAAAAGAAACACCUCUUUGCUUUGGCUGUUUCUUUUUUAUUUAUUUGUUUCUUUUUUUGGUUUGUUGUUUCUAUACGACAGGUCACCUGUAAAUUUAUAAGAGAAAAUGUG
Molecule: long non-coding RNA, 1981 nt
Filed under: Solanum tuberosum (potato)
Lineage: Eukaryota; Viridiplantae; Streptophyta; Magnoliopsida; Solanales; Solanaceae
Description: long non-coding RNA (STUB_LNC004339)
Source: RNAcentral